GACGAACGCUGGCGGCGUGCCUAACACAUGCAAGUCGAACGGGGUGAAUUUCUUCGGAGGUUCACUUAGUGGCGAACGGGUGAGUAACGCGUGAGAAACCUGCCUUCCGGUGGGGGACAACAGUUAGAAAUGACUGCUAAUACCGCAUAAGCGCACGGUAUCGCAUGAUACAGUGUGAAAAACUCCGGUGGUAUGAGAUGGACCCGCGUCUGAUUAGCCAGUUGGUGGGGUAACGGCCUACCAAGGCGACGAUCAGUAGCCGACCUGAGAGGGUGACCGGCCACAUUGGGACUGAGACACGGCCCAA
RNAcentral lists this ribosomal RNA (307 nucleotides) under uncultured bacterium. RNAcentral describes it as "bacterial SSU rRNA". It matches the Rfam family "Bacterial small subunit ribosomal RNA", at positions 28 to 334 of the family's 1533-position model. The record is from RNAcentral.